Molecule: ribosomal RNA, 468 nt
Filed under: uncultured bacterium
Lineage: Bacteria
Description: partial 16S ribosomal RNA
Rfam family: Bacterial small subunit ribosomal RNA
Source: RNAcentral
GAUGAACGCUGGCGGCGUGCUUAACACAUGCGAGUCGAACGGAAAGGCCCUGCUUUUGUGGGGUGCUCGAGUGGCGAACGGGUGAGUAACACGUGUGUAACCUGCCCUUCACUUUGGGAUAAGUUCAGGAAACUGGGGCUAAUACCGGAUAGGAUACCCCGUUGGAUGGUGGGGGUUGGAACGUUUCGGCGGGUGCGGAUGGACUGGCGGGUUAUCGGCUUGCUGGUGGGGUAGUGGCUUACCAAGGCUUUGGCGGGUAGGCGACCUGGGAGGGGGGACGGCCACAUGGGGACUGAGGGACGGACCAGACGCGUAUGGGAGGCAGGAGUGGGGAAUAUUGCACAACGGGCGCAAGCCUGAUGCAGCGACGCCGCGUGCGGGAUGACGGCCUUCGGGGUGUAAACCGCUUUCGCCUGUGACGAAGCGGGAGUGACGGUAACGGGAGAAGAAGCACCGGCUAACUACGUG